CCUACGGGAGGCAGCAGUGAGGAAUAUUGGUCAAUGGGCGCGAGCCUGAACCAGCCAAGUAGCGUGAAGGAUGACUGCCCUACGGGUUGUAAACUUCUUUUGUAAAGGAAUAAAGUGAGGCACGUGUGCCUUUUUGUAUGUACUUUAUGCAUAAGGAUCGGCUAACUCCGUGCCAGCAGCCGCGGUAAUACGGAGGGUCCGGGCGUUAUCCGGAGUUAUUGGGUUUAAAGGGAGCGUAGAUGGGUUGUUAAGGCAGGUGUGAAAGUUUGCGGCUCAACCCUAAAAUUGCAAUUGAUACUGGCAGCCGUGAGUACAGGUGAGGUAGGCGGAAUUCGUGGUGUAGCGGUGAAAUGCUUAGAUAUCACGAAGAACUCCGAUUGCGAAGGCAGCUUACUAAACUGCCACUGACAUUGAUGCUCGAAAGUGUGGGGAGCAAACAGGAUUAGAUACCCUAGUAGUC
RNAcentral lists this ribosomal RNA (460 nucleotides) under uncultured bacterium. RNAcentral's name for it is "partial 16S ribosomal RNA". It matches the Rfam family "Bacterial small subunit ribosomal RNA", at positions 338 to 795 of the family's 1533-position model. The record is from RNAcentral.